GCAUUUCAGCGCGAAUCUUGGCAUCUACCUCAUUCUUCCCUUUUCGUUUGCAGAGAUAUCCUUGCAAAAGGUCCUACAAAGCCUAAUUCUGUUGAGGAAUACCUGAAGGACUUCAUCCAGGACCUGAAGCAUGUAACUCAGCAUGCCCCUCUUCAGCAUUGUGGAGUUCAGAGAGGAAGUGUCAAGUGAAGGAAGGGCUCUUGUGGAUAUUAUUCCAUCAUGUUGGUUCACUGAUGAGGACAAGACGGACUGUUUUUGGCCAGCAGGCCACAAUCUUAAUAUCACCAAGGCAGUGAAACAGCGGCAAAGACCAGAUGCUUCAUGGGGGACAUACAGUGUGCGUGCACUUGGACAUGCAGACACAUAUGAGGAUGCUCGACGCAAG
This is a long non-coding RNA of Notolabrus celidotus (New Zealand spotty), 385 nucleotides long. RefSeq lists it as uncharacterized. The transcript is spliced from 4 exons. NCBI's taxonomy places the organism in Eukaryota, Metazoa, Chordata, Actinopteri, Labriformes, Labridae. The record is from RefSeq and is a predicted model, not a curated record.